Molecule: ribosomal RNA, 484 nt
Filed under: uncultured bacterium
Lineage: Bacteria
Description: partial 16S ribosomal RNA
Rfam family: Bacterial small subunit ribosomal RNA
Source: RNAcentral
AUUGAACGCUGGCGGCAGGCCUAACACAUGCAAGUCGAGCGGAUGAAGGGAGCUUGCUCCUGGAUUCAGCGGCGGACGGGUGAGUAAUGCCUAGGAAUCUGCCUGGUAGUGGGGGAUAACGUCCGGAAACGGGCGCUAAUACCGCAUACGUCCUGAGGGAGAAAGUGGGUGAUCUUCGGACCUCACGCUAUCAGAUGAGCCUAGGUCGGAUUAGCUAGUUGGUGGGGUAAAGGCCUACCAAGGCGACGUUCCGUAACUGGUCUGAGAGGAUGAUCAGUCACACUGGAACUGAGACACGGUCCAGAGUCCUAGGGGAGGCAGCAGUGGGGAAUAUUGGACAAUGGGCGAAAGCCUGAUCCAGCCAUGCCGCGUGUUUGAAGAAGGUCUUCGGAUUGUAAAGCACUUUAAGUUGGGAGGAAGGGCAGUAAGUUAAUACCUUGCUGUUUUGACGUUACCAACAUAAUAAGCACCGGCUAACUUCGUG